This 489-nucleotide ribosomal RNA is filed under the name uncultured bacterium. RNAcentral's name for it is "bacterial SSU rRNA". It matches the Rfam family "Bacterial small subunit ribosomal RNA", at positions 17 to 518 of the family's 1533-position model. The record is from RNAcentral.
UUAUGGCUCAGGACGAACGCUGGUGGCGUGCUUAACACAUGCAAGUCGAGCGAUGAAGCUUCUUCGGGAGUGGAUUAGCGGCGGACGGGUGAGUAACACGUGGGUAACCUGCCUCAUAGAGGGGAAUAGCCUUUCGAAAGGAAGAUUAAUACCGCAUAAGAUUGUAGUACCGCAUGGUACAGCAAUUAAAGGAGUAAUCCGCUAUGAGAUGGACCCGCGUCGCAUUAGCUAGUUGGUGAGGUAACGGCUCACCAAGGCGACGAUGCGUAGCCGACCUGAGAGGGUGAUCGGCCACAUUGGGACUGAGACACGGCCCAGACUCCUACGGGAGGCAGCAGUGGGGAAUAUUGCACAAUGGGGGGAAAAACCCCCUGAUGCAGCAACGCCGCGUGAGUGAUGACGGCCUUCGGGUUGUAAAACUCUGUCUUUGGGGACGAUAAUGACGGUACCCAAGGAGGAAGCCACGGCUAACUACGUGCCAGCCGCCGC